This 800-nucleotide ribosomal RNA is filed under the name uncultured bacterium. Its description in RNAcentral is "bacterial SSU rRNA". It matches the Rfam family "Bacterial small subunit ribosomal RNA", at positions 172 to 965 of the family's 1533-position model. The record is from RNAcentral.
AAUGUGGUCAUCGGAAUUAGAAACCGAUGUCUAAAGGAUUUAUUCGCUUUGGGAGGGGCCUGCGUCCCAUCAGCUAGUUGGUAAGGUAACUGCUUACCAAGGCUUACGGGUAGCCGACCUGAGAGGGUGACCGGCCACACUGGGACUGAGACACUGCCCAGACUCCUACGGGAGGCUGCAGUCGAGAAUCAUUGUCAAUGUACGAAAGUAUGAACAUGCGACGCCGCGUGGAGGACGAAGGCCUUCGGGUUGUAAACUCCUGUCCUGAGGGAGUAAGUGCAGACGGGUUAAUACCCCGUUUGUUUGAUAGUACCUCAGAAGAAAGUCACGGCUAACUCUGUGCCAGCAGCCGCGGUAAUACAGAGGUGGCAAGUGUUGUUCGGAUUCACUGGGCGUAAAGGGUCCGCAGGCGGUCCUGUGUGUCGGAUGUGAAAGCUCACGGCUCAACCGUGGAAUUGCAUUCGAAACUGCAGGACUAGAGUACAGGAGGGGAGUAGGGAAUUCAUGGUGUAGCGGUGAAAUGCGUAGAUAUCAUGAAGAACACCGGUGGCGAAGGCGCUACUCUGGACUGAUACUGACGCUCAUGGACGAAAGCUGGGGGAGCGAAGAGGAUUAGAUACCCUCGUAGUCCCAGCCGUAAACGGUGUGCACUUGAUGUUGGAGGUUUACCCCCUUCAGUGUCGGAGCUAACGCGUUAAGUGCACCGCCUGGGAAGUACGGUCGCAAGAUUAAAACUCAAAGGAAUUGACGGGGGCCCGCACAAGCGGUGGAGCAUGUGGCUUAAUUCGAUGCAACGCGAA